This 1359-nucleotide ribosomal RNA is filed under the name Janthinobacterium lividum. RNAcentral's name for it is "bacterial SSU rRNA". It matches the Rfam family "Bacterial small subunit ribosomal RNA", at positions 72 to 1433 of the family's 1533-position model. The record is from RNAcentral. Lineage: Bacteria; Pseudomonadati; Pseudomonadota; Betaproteobacteria; Burkholderiales; Oxalobacteraceae.
CACGGAGCUUGCUCUGGUGGCGAGUGGCGAACGGGUGAGUAAUAUAUCGGAACGUACCCUAGAGUGGGGGAUAACGUAGCGAAAGUUACGCUAAUACCGCAUACGAUCUAAGGAUGAAAGUGGGGGAUCGCAAGACCUCAUGCUCGUGGAGCGGCCGAUAUCUGAUUAGCUAGUUGGUAGGGUAAAAGCCUACCAAGGCAUCGAUCAGUAGCUGGUCUGAGAGGACGACCAGCCACACUGGAACUGAGACACGGUCCAGACUCCUACGGGAGGCAGCAGUGGGGAAUUUUGGACAAUGGGCGAAAGCCUGAUCCAGCAAUGCCGCGUGAGUGAAGAAGGCCUUCGGGUUGUAAAGCUCUUUUGUCAGGGAAGAAACGGUGAGAGCUAAUAUCUCUUGCUAAUGACGGUACCUGAAGAAUAAGCACCGGCUAACUACGUGCCAGCAGCCGCGGUAAUACGUAGGGUGCAAGCGUUAAUCGGAAUUACUGGGCGUAAAGCGUGCGCAGGCGGUUUUGUAAGUCUGAUGUGAAAUCCCCGGGCUCAACCUGGGAAUUGCAUUGGAGACUGCAAGGCUAGAAUCUGGCAGAGGGGGGUAGAAUUCCACGUGUAGCAGUGAAAUGCGUAGAUAUGUGGAGGAACACCGAUGGCGAAGGCAGCCCCCUGGGUCAAGAUUGACGCUCAUGCACGAAAGCGUGGGGAGCAAACAGGAUUAGAUACCCUGGUAGUCCACGCCCUAAACGAUGUCUACUAGUUGUCGGGUCUUAAUUGACUUGGUAACGCAGCUAACGCGUGAAGUAGACCGCCUGGGGAGUACGGUCGCAAGAUUAAAACUCAAAGGAAUUGACGGGGACCCGCACAAGCGGUGGAUGAUGUGGAUUAAUUCGAUGCAACGCGAAAAACCUUACCUACCCUUGACAUGGCUGGAAUCCUCGAGAGAUUGGGGAGUGCUCGAAAGAGAACCAGUACACAGGUGCUGCAUGGCUGUCGUCAGCUCGUGUCGUGAGAUGUUGGGUUAAGUCCCGCAACGAGCGCAACCCUUGUCAUUAGUUGCUACGAAAGGGCACUCUAAUGAGACUGCCGGUGACAAACCGGAGGAAGGUGGGGAUGACGUCAAGUCCUCAUGGCCCUUAUGGGUAGGGCUUCACACGUCAUACAAUGGUACAUACAGAGCGCCGCCAACCCGCGAGGGGGAGCUAAUCGCAGAAAGUGUAUCGUAGUCCGGAUUGUAGUCUGCAACUCGACUGCAUGAAGUUGGAAUCGCUAGUAAUCGCGGAUCAGCAUGUCGCGGUGAAUACGUUCCCGGGUCUUGUACACACCGCCCGUCACACCAUGGGAGCGGGUUUUACCAGAAGUAGGUAG